Molecule: ribosomal RNA, 301 nt
Filed under: uncultured bacterium
Lineage: Bacteria
Description: partial 16S ribosomal RNA
Rfam family: Bacterial small subunit ribosomal RNA
Source: RNAcentral
CAGUAGCCGCGGGAAUACGUAGGUGGCAAGCGUUGUCCGGAAUUAUUGGGCGUAAAGGGCUCGCAGGCGGUUUCUUAAGUCUGAUGUGAAAGCCCCCGGCUCAACCGGGGAGGGUCAUUGGAAACUGGGAAACUUGAGUGCAGAAGAGGAGAGUGGAAUUCCACGUGUAGCGGUGAAAUGCGUAGAGAUGUGGAGGAACACCAGUGGCGAAGGCGACUCUCUGGUCUGUAACUGACGCUGAGGAGCGAAAGCGUGGGGAGCAAACAGGAUUAGAGACCCCAGUAGUCCCUGUCUCUUAUAC